GUUACUGCCGAGGAAAGAUCGAACUGUGUUUUGCUCGGUAUAAGAGGAAUCAAAGAAUAUGGAGGCACCACAAACGAGUCUGUUGAUGGUUUUACUAUUUUGGUCGAAUUGCUCAGGGUAUGACUAUUUCAUUGACAGAUUCGGUUACAGAAAGUUUCAAGAUGUAACAACUAAAAAUUCAUUCACGAUUCAAUGUAAAUCGACAGAUCGGUUUUAUGUUGGUUUCUUUAAUAGUUCCAUCAUGUUCUUCGAAAUGUAUAUAACCAGCAGUGGAUAUAAUAAAGGAACAGAUCCCUCAGCUAUAGCUGCCAGUCUUAAUUUCUCCACCACAGAAUACAGAUCCUAUUGGUUUGAAUGGGGCACCGGAGUUGUUAACUUUGGUUUAGGGUCCGUUGUUGGAGAAAGUCAUUUUGGUGUUCUUCCUAUGAAUGGAAAUGUAAGCUAUGUGGGUUUCCGGUCGAUUGCAAAGGAGAACCUGUCAAUUAUCUUUCCUGAUUAUACGUUAUUUACUAGAACCUCUGGUUACAGACUUGAUGUAGAAUCAACGACUUUUACUGAAAGAAGUCGCAUUUUAUGUUGUAAAGCCUGUAUGGCCAACACUAGAUGCUAUGCUUUUAAGUACAGAAGAAACCAUGGUUAUGACAAUUGUCAGACUAUUGAUAAAAAGGCAUUUAAAUCAGGAACGACUACAUUUUUCCCUUUUAGUACAGUAGCCGACACUGAAUGGUCUUAUUACUUUAAUCGAUUAAAUUGAUUUAAAUAUAUGUAAUGGAAUGAAAGGUAGAGGCAUAUGUUAUGCUUCCAACUAUUGAAGAAACCGCAGUAAUUACAAAUGACUGAAAAUUGCCACACAACAAAACCAGAACAUUUGUGACAAUUCCUUUCAUAACAGCGGGAGAUCAGAUCCUCAGCUAGAUUUUUCACGAACUCGACUGAUAACAUUAAC
Long non-coding RNA from Patella vulgata (common limpet), 946 nucleotides. RefSeq lists it as uncharacterized. NCBI's taxonomy places the organism in Eukaryota, Metazoa, Mollusca, Gastropoda, Patellidae. The record is from RefSeq and is a predicted model, not a curated record. The transcript has 4 exons.